This 478-nucleotide ribosomal RNA is filed under the name uncultured bacterium. RNAcentral's name for it is "partial 16S ribosomal RNA". It matches the Rfam family "Bacterial small subunit ribosomal RNA", at positions 28 to 507 of the family's 1533-position model. The record is from RNAcentral.
GAUGAACGCUGGCGGCGUGCUUAACACAUGCAAGUCGAACGAGAAGUGGAGACGGAAACCUUCGGGCGGAAGACUUUACUUCGAGUGGCGGACGGGUGAGUAACGCGUGGGUAACCUGCCUCAUACAGGGGGAUAACAGUUGGAAACGACUGUUAAUACCGCAUAAGACCACAGCACCGCAUGGUGCGGGGGUAAAAACUCCGGUGGUAUGAGAUGGACCCGCGUUCGAUUAGCCAGUUGGCGGGGUAACGGCCCACCAAAGCGACGAUCGAUAGCCGAUCUGAGAGGAUGACCGGCCACACUGGGACUGAGACACGGCCCAAACUCCUACGGGAGGCAGCAGUGGGGAAUAUUGCACAAUGGGGGAAACCCUGAUGCAGCGACGACGCGUGAGUGAAGAAGUAUUUCGGUAUGUAAAGCUCUAUCAGCAGGGAAGAAAAUGACAGUACCUGAGUAAGAAGCCCCGGCUAACUACGUG